RNAcentral lists this ribosomal RNA (494 nucleotides) under uncultured bacterium. RNAcentral's name for it is "partial 16S ribosomal RNA". It matches the Rfam family "Bacterial small subunit ribosomal RNA", at positions 28 to 523 of the family's 1533-position model. The record is from RNAcentral.
GACGAACGCUGGCGGCGUGCUUAACACAUGCAAGUCGAGCGAUGAAAGCCUUAUGAACUAUUCGUAGUGAUUGGGGCCGGAGUAGCGGCGGACGGGUGAGUAACGCGUGAGCAACCUGCCUUAAACAACGGGAUAGCCUCGGGAAACCGGGAUUAAGACCGUAUGAGACCCAGCCGUCACACGAAGAAGAGGUUAAAGAUUUAUCGGUUUAAGAUGGGCUCGCGUCUGAUUAGCUAGUUGGUGAGAUAAAAGCCCACCAAGGCAACGAUCAGUAACCGGCUUGAGAGAGUGAACGGUCACAUUGGAACUGAGACACGGUCCAAACUCCUACGGGAGGCAGCAGUGGGGAAUAUUGCACAAUGGGGGAAACCCUGAUGCAGCGACGCCGCGUGAGCGAUGAAGGAAUUCGUUUCGUAAAGCUCUGUCCAAGGGGAAGAUAAUGACAGUACCCUUGGAGGAAGCCCCGGCUAAAUACGUGCCAGCCGCCGCAGUAA